UUGCCCCCUGGGUUGAGAAUCGGGCCGUCCAGCAUCCCUGAGGCUGGGCUUGGAGUGUGGAAUGAGGCAGCUGAUUUGCCUGUGGGUCUGCACUUUGGCCCUUAUGAAGGACACAUCACAGAAGAUGAGGAGGCAGCCAACAGCAGAUACUCCUGGCUGAUCACCAAAGGGAGAAACUGCUAUGAGUAUGUGGAUGGAAAGGACAGAUCCUGGGCCAACUGGAUGAGGUUUGUGAACUGUGCCCGGGAUGAUGAAGAGCAGAACCUGGUGGCCUUUCAAUACCAUGGGCAGAUUUUCUACCGAACCUGCCGGGUCGUCAGGCCAGGCUGUGAGCUGCUGGUCUGGUUCGGGGAUGAGUAUGGCCAGGAGCUGGGCAGCAAGUGGGGCAGCGAGUGGAAGACAGAGCUCGCGGCCGGGAGAGGUGGGCACCACUGUUCUUCAAAACAGAAAGAAAAGAGAGAAUUCUCCAUAGAAAUAUUCA
Artibeus jamaicensis (Jamaican fruit-eating bat) is the source of this 481-nucleotide long non-coding RNA. RefSeq lists it as uncharacterized. The record is from RefSeq and is a predicted model, not a curated record. The transcript is spliced from 3 exons. Lineage: Eukaryota; Metazoa; Chordata; Mammalia; Chiroptera; Phyllostomidae.